Long non-coding RNA from Lolium rigidum, 816 nucleotides. RefSeq lists it as uncharacterized. The record is from RefSeq and is a predicted model, not a curated record. The transcript is spliced from 4 exons. NCBI's taxonomy places the organism in Eukaryota, Viridiplantae, Streptophyta, Magnoliopsida, Poales, Poaceae.
UUUGUUCGGAACUUACAGAUACGAGAAGAGCUUUAGCCGUCAUGUUGGACGCUUCACGUUCUUGUGUUUUUCAAUCUUUGUUCUAUAUGUCUUCUUCCUCAUUUCAAAACCAAUUGAACCGCCCACCUCUUCACUCAACCCUCCAUCACCGUCAACACCCUCAGUAAUGACAAUCGACAGCCGUGCACUAUUUUUCCUUGCACUUGGACUUAUAGUGCUGGCUGGUCACAUCUAUUCUUGGGUCAUGGGUUGUCGUACAGGCUCUGACAUAUAGGUGUUGGACUGACACCUGCAUCAAAUCUGACUGAUUGCACAAGGGGGUGAAUGGUGCUCUGAGUUGAUCUGACCGGUUCUUCUUUACAAUGUGCUUAUUCAGGGGAAGCGUCACAUUUAUGCUGGGGAUAGGAUGUGGUGUCUAUGUAGCUGUAAAAUACGAUGAUGCAAGAACUUGCGUUUUUGGCACACUAACGAGGCAAUUCACGGACUGGUUGUUUCUCCGUGGUUUUUUCAUGUCACGAUUCCUGGGGAAAGUUUCGUGUAGCUGUAACAUGAUACUACAUAUAAUUCUGAUUCAGAGAGGGUAACCGUGAUGAGCAUACCAUCAACCAUGACCGUCUCAGUCUCCAAAACAUGUGUAAUCUUUUACAACGAUACUGCAGUUUGUAGGUUAUAUGCUGUAUAUAUGACGAGAGGUGAGAAUUAAGAUGGGUCGAUGUUGGUCUAAAUUUUUAGAGAGACGAGUGAGACAACUAAUAGAUGUCCAACCUUGACUGUUGGUAUAUACACAUUGAGCAAGUCACUCCUGUUUUGAGACAA